This 468-nucleotide ribosomal RNA is filed under the name uncultured bacterium. Its description in RNAcentral is "partial 16S ribosomal RNA". It matches the Rfam family "Bacterial small subunit ribosomal RNA", at positions 28 to 507 of the family's 1533-position model. The record is from RNAcentral.
GACGAACGCUGGCGGCGUGCUUAACACAUGCAAGUCGAACGGAAAGGCCCUGCUUUUGUGGGGUGCUCGAUUGGCGAACGCGUGAGUAUCACGUGAGUAACCUGUCCUUGUCUUUGGGAUAACUUUAGGAAACUGCGGCUCAUACCGCAUAGGAGCUCUUGCUGCAUGGUGGGGGUUGGAAAGUUUCGGCGGUUGGGGAUGGACUCGCGGCUUAUCCGCCUGUUGGUGAGGUAGUGGCUUACAAAGGCUUCGACGGGUAGCCGGCCUGAGAGGGUGACCGGCCACAUUGGGACUGAGGUACGGCGCAGACGCCUACGGGAGGCAGCAGUGGGGAGUAUGGCAGAAUGGGCGGAAGCCUGAUGCAGAAACGCCGCGUGCGGGAUGACGGCCUUCGGGUUGUAAACCGCUGUCGCAGGAGACGAAGCGGGAGUGACGGUAAUGGGUAAGAAAGCACCGGCUAACUACGUG